RNAcentral lists this ribosomal RNA (290 nucleotides) under uncultured bacterium. Its description in RNAcentral is "partial 16S ribosomal RNA". It matches the Rfam family "Bacterial small subunit ribosomal RNA", at positions 333 to 619 of the family's 1533-position model. The record is from RNAcentral.
AUGGUCCUACGGGAGGCAGCAGUGAGGAAUAUUGGUCAAUGGGCGGAAGCCUGAACCAGCCACGUCGCGUGAGGGAAGAAGGCCCUGCGGGUCGCAGCCCUCUUUGGACGGGGAGCAAGGCCGCCGACGUGUCGGCGGAAGGAGAGUACCCGUAGAACAAGCAUCGGCUAACUCCGUGCCAGCAGCCGCGGUAAUACGGAGGAUGCGAGCGUUAUCCGGAUUUAUUGGGUUUAAAGGGUGCGCAGGCGGCACGGCAAGCCGGCGGCCAAAUCGGGGGGCUCAACCCGGCC